CGGCGGACGGGUGAGUAAUGCUUGGGAAUAUGCCUUAUGGUGGGGGACAACAGUUGGAAACGACUGCUAAUACCGCAUAAUGUCUACGGACCAAAGGGGGGGAUCUUCGGACCUCCCGCCAUUUGAUUAGCCCAAGUGAGAUUAGCUAGUUGGUAAGGUAAUGGCUUACCAGGGCGACGAUCUCUAGCUGGUUUGAGAGGAUGAUCAGCCACACUGGGACUGAGACACGGCCCAG
This 235-nucleotide ribosomal RNA is filed under the name uncultured bacterium. Its description in RNAcentral is "partial 16S ribosomal RNA". It matches the Rfam family "Bacterial small subunit ribosomal RNA", at positions 96 to 334 of the family's 1533-position model. The record is from RNAcentral.